AGCGUUGUCCGGAUUUACUGGGCGUAAAGGGAGCGUAGGCGGAUUUUUAAGUCUAAUGUGAAAGCCCUCGGGCUUAACCUGAGGAACUGCAUCGGAAACUGUUUUUCUUGAGUGCAGAAGAGGAGAGUGGAACUCCAUGUGUAGCGGUGGAAUGCGUAGAUAUAUGGAAGAACACCAGUGGCGAAGGCGGCUCUCUGGUCUGCAACUGACGCUGAGGCUCGAAAGCAUGGGUAGCGAACAGGAUUAGAUACCCUGGUAGUCCAUGCCGUAAACGAUGAGUGCUAAGUGUUGGGAGGUUUCCGCCUCUCAGUGCUGCAGCUAACGCAUUAAGCACUCCGCCUGGGGAGUACGACCGCAAGGUUGAAACUCAAAGGAAUUGACGGGGGCCCGCACAAGCGGUGGAGCAUGUGGUUUAAUUCGACGCAACGCGAAGAACCUUACCAGGUCUUGACAUCUAGUGCAAUCUGUAGAGAUACGGAGUUCCCUUCGGGGACGCUAAGACAGGUGGUGCAUGGCUGUCGUCAGCUCGUGUCGUGAGAUGUUGGGUUAAGUCCCGCAACGAGCGCAACCCUUGUUAUUAGUUGCCAGCAUUAAGUUGGGCACUCUAAUGAGACUGCCGGUGACAAACCGGAGGAAGGUGGGGAUGACGUCAAGUCAUCAUGCCCCUUAUGACCUGGGCUACACACGUGCUACAAUGGGCAGUACAACGAGAAGCAAGCCUGCGAAGGCAAGCGAAUCUCUGAAAGCUGUUCUCAGUUCGGACUGCAGUCUGCAACUCGACUGCACGAAGCUGGAAUCGCUAGUAAUCGUGGAUCAGCAUGUCGCGGUG
RNAcentral lists this ribosomal RNA (829 nucleotides) under uncultured Bacillota bacterium. RNAcentral's name for it is "bacterial SSU rRNA". It matches the Rfam family "Bacterial small subunit ribosomal RNA", at positions 537 to 1364 of the family's 1533-position model. Lineage: Bacteria; Bacillati; Bacillota. The record is from RNAcentral.